RNAcentral lists this ribosomal RNA (3171 nucleotides) under Triticum aestivum (bread wheat). RNAcentral describes it as "partial small subunit ribosomal RNA". The record is from RNAcentral. Lineage: Eukaryota; Viridiplantae; Streptophyta; Magnoliopsida; Poales; Poaceae.
AUGGCGCAUACCCCGAACCCCAGCCGGCGGUCGUGGGUGAGCCCGCCGACCCCCUUCCUCACGCCGCGACCCGAGCGCCGGGAGCUGCGGUGGGCGGAAGCGGGCUCGCACAGCUCCGUGCGCCGCAGCGGCGUAGGCGCCUGCAGCAUCAACGGCGGCAAUGACAGGGACCGCGAGGCGAACGUGCAGGUCGUGCUCCGAUGCAGACCGCUAAGCGUGGAGGAGCAGAAAGCGAAUGUCCAGAGUGCCGUCUCCUGCAACGACACCAAGAGGGAGGUCACAGUUCUGAACAGUCUAUUCAAGCAAGCAGACAAAACAUUCACCUUUGACAAGGUAUUUGGCCCAAAAUCUCAGCAGAGGGCAAUAUAUGAUCAUGCUGUUGCACCAAUUGUCGAUGAUGUCCUUGAAGGCUACAAUUGUACUGUCUUUGCCUUUGGACAAACUGGAACCGGGAAAACUUAUACUAUGGAGGGAGAGAUGAUGCAGCAGGUAGGUGAACUGCCAGCUAGUGCUGGUGUCAUGCCAAGAGCAGUGCGCCAUAUUUUUGACAUUUUGAAAGCACAGAAGGCUGUCUAUAGCAUGAAGGUAACCUUCUUGGAGCUCUAUAACGAAGAAAUAACAGAUCUGUUGGCUUCAGAGGACCAAAGUAGAUUCCCUGAAGAUAGACACAAAAGGCCUACUAUAUCUCUUAUGGAAGAUGGCAAAGGUGGGUCUGUCAUAAGAGGCCUUGAAGAAAUUGUUGUCUACAGUCCUGGUGAGAUAUAUAGUCUGUUACAACAUGGAUCAACUAGGAGACGCACUGCCGACACUGCACUGAAUAUGCAAAGCAGCCGUUCACAUUCUGUCUUUUCUAUAUAUAUCCAUGUCAAAGUAACAACAACAGGGAAUCAGGAACUCAUGAAAUAUGGGAGGUUGAACCUUGUAGACCUGGCAGGAUCAGAGAGUAUAGCUCGAUCAGGUGCAAAAGAGGUUAGAGCAAGAGAAGCUGGAGAGCUGAAUAAGAGCUUACUAACACUGGGUCGUGUCAUCACUGCACUUGUUGAAGAUUCAGUUCAUGUACCAUACAGGGACAGUAAGCUCACCAGGUUGCUUAGGGAAUCCUUAGGUGGAAAAGCCAAAACUUGCAUCAUAGCAACAGUAACUCCAUCUGUCCACUGCCUGGAAGAAACUCUAGUUACACUUGAUUAUGCUUAUCGUGCUAAAAGCAUAAGAAACAAACCAGAGGUAAACCAAAAAGUUCGCAAAUCUCCUAUGCUUAAGGAUCUCUAUCAACAAAUGGAAAAAAUGAAACAAGAUGUAAAAGCCGCAAGGGAAAAGAAUGGAAUUUAUAUCCCCCAGGAAAGGUUUGAUCUUGAGGAGGCAGAGAAAAAGACAAUGAGGGAAAAGGUGGAACAUAUGGAGCUUAGCAUGGAGAAGCAGAGCAAAGAGCUCGAAAAAUACAGAAGUUUGUACAUAGCAGAGCAGGAGCACAGGUUGAAUUUGGAAGGUCAGAAUAAAGAGUUAAAGGCGAGGAUUGAAACUGGCAAGAGGGAAUUUCUGGAUCUUCAGGAAGCUCAUUCUAGAGCUAACAUCUCUCUGAAGGAAAAGGACUUCAUAAUCUCAAAUUUACUCCAUGCCAAGAAUGUAAUCCUUGAACGUGCAAAGGUUCUGUGUGGCACUGUCGAAACUGCAUCUGGAGAUAUUGCUCAUCUUCAGAAUAAACUAGGAAGGCAAUCGAAAACUGAAGUUGAAAAUAAAGGGUUGCUAUUCAAUUUUCGGUCUCAAAUCGAUCAGAGUCUUGGACUUCUUCAUAACACAGUUGUUGGGUCGAUUCGUGAGCAGCACCAAUUUAUGGAGUCCAUGACUGGACAAAUGAAUUCAUAUUUUUCAGCUAAAUCUGAGUCAGCUAACCAUUUGAAGAGAAGAAUCGCAAAGGCCAAAGAUAUGUAUACCUCUGGUGUGCAAUGCAUGAACGAGCUUGUCAAUACUCUGCGGCAGCGGUCCAUCACAGACUCUGAGCAGAUGAAACUGAAUAUAUCUUCACAAGCAAUAGCUGUUGACAAUUUUAUAGCAGUGAUGGUUUCAGAGACUGAACAAGUAUUAACUGAGGUUUUGAGAUCUACUUCUGAACUCAAGGAGCUAUUAGCAUUUUCUGCUGAACAACAAGAAUUAGGAUUGCAAAAGAGUCUUACCUCAGCACAAGCCAUGUCGAAGACGUCAAUAGAUUUUUUUAAUGAUAUUAGUACACAUGCGUCUAGGCUCAUGAAACUUAUGGAGCAAAGUCAAAGAGGAUGCUCCUCUCGUCUUGCUGAAUUUGAGAAGGGUUUUGAGGAAGUUGCUAUUAGAGAAGAGCAAGCUGCUGUUGACAAGAUUGCUGGAAUUUUAGCUGGCUUGACUGCCAGGAAAAGGACAAUGGUUUCAGAAUAUGUUGGACAACUGAAUGAUAAGUAUAGUGAGGAGCAGGAACACCUGGCGUUGGAAAUGUCCAGCCUACAACAAGUUUCAGAUAAUGGCAAAAAAGAGGCUGCAUCCUGUGCUGAGAAGCUAAAGAACCAAUUCCUGGAUGAUAUGUCAUCGCAUGCUAAUACCAAAGAUAAAAUGGGAGACGUCUUGCAGCAGUGCUUGAAGGGAAGCCACCAUUCUGUUUCUUACUGGUCACAUAUGCAGUCAUGUUUAGAACAUCUAAAUAAGAGCUCAGUUGUGGAAGCUAAUGAUUUUAUACAAGAGGGAAGAAAUGAAAAUGAAAGUAUUAUCCAGGAGAUUCAACUUCGUUCUUCACACAAUGAUGCAGGAUUCCAUGCCAUUACAUCUGAUAUUUUGACUGCUUCAGAGAAUUCUCACUUACUGGAUCAUGAAACUAGAAAGAGAAUGGAAACUCUAUCCACCUCCUUCUCGAAUCAUUUGGGAUUGCUGACUGAAAAACACAAUCAGGGCACAGAGUCUAUAAGAACCUUUACAAGUAACUUUAUGGAAAAAGAUUACUCGGUUAACAGUCCAGUUCGUCAUCGCCCACAGGAGCUACUGGCCGGUGCAUAUAGCUUCGAAUCAAUUGAAGAAUUGAAAGCCUCGGUGCCAGAUCUUGUGGCGAAAUUCAAAUCAAAGAACAAGCUGGAUGAAGUGGACAAAGGAAAAAGCUACUCGGAUCAAACGACACGUGCUCCUAGAAGUCCUCUCACGCCAGUCAAUCACUAG